This is a non-coding RNA of Habropoda laboriosa, 58 nucleotides long. Lineage: Eukaryota; Metazoa; Arthropoda; Insecta; Hymenoptera; Apidae. The record is from Rfam.
UGGCGUAGUGCGCAAAGCCUCGGCUUGCUAAGCCGAAGGUCCCGGGUUCGAUUCCCGG